AGCUCCAAUAGCGUAUAUUAAAGUUGUUGCAGUUAAAAAGCUCGUAGUUGAAUUUUGGAUUCUGCCAAUCGGUCCAUCUUUUAGAUGAGUACUGGUUGUGUGGGGUCUAUCCGCCUGGUGAUACAUAAUGUCCUUUAUUGGAUGUUAUGGGUAGUCAGGACCUUUACCUUGAAAAAAUUAGAGUGUUUAAAGCAGGCUUAUGCCGGAAUACAUUAGCAUGGAAUAAUAGAAUAGGACGAAGUUGUUUUAUUUUGUUGGUUUCUAGGACAACCGUAAUGAUUAAUAGGGAUAGUUGGGGGCAUUAGUAUUCAAUUGUCAGAGGUGAAAUUCUUGGAUUUAUUGAAGACUAACUACUGCGAAAGCAUUUGCCAAGGAUGUUUUCA
Molecule: ribosomal RNA, 383 nt
Filed under: uncultured eukaryote
Lineage: Eukaryota
Description: SSU rRNA
Rfam family: Eukaryotic small subunit ribosomal RNA
Source: RNAcentral